GACAUAAACAGCAAAACCCAGGAGACAGUUACCAUGAGAACAGUACACAGAAACCCGCCGAAGCCUUGCUUGUUUUCUAAUUUCUGAUUUUCCCGAUAUUUUUCUCUCGUUGCAAAAGUUAAGGAGUUUCUUCACCGUACAGCAGAUCACCGGUGAACUGGACCCUAUCCCAGCUGACCUGGGGCGAGAGACUGGGUACACCCUGGACCAGUCGCCAACCAAUAGCCGAUAUUGCUAAAUUAUAAUCAGUUUGAAAUAUCUGUGGCUACAUGCCAUCGUCACAAUCCACAAAAGUUGCUGAGAUUUCCUCAGACAGUCUCCUAUCGGAACAGAACAGUGUCACCAAAUUCAGCAAAGCAGAUGUGAGGAGGAGAAGGGUGAGGAAGGAGCCAUUCAACUUACCAGAUGGGAAAAGCAUUCUUCUCCAAAGUUCGGUUGAAAAAGAUGACCGACAAAAGGAGAUGCACAACUUCCUGCCUCUCCCACUUCACGAGAAGAAAAAUUACUCUGCUCGAAUGAUGGCUGAGCAGAAGAAAGAGCUUUUCGGGCAUCUGAAGGAGGAGGACGAAGAGGAGCCGGAAAAAGACAAAGUGAAGACGCUGAGGCAAGCCAAGAGGAAGCCAACACUCCCAAAACAAACACCCGCAAGACAUCAGCUGAAGACUAAUUUGUUGAAACAAACAAACAUAGUGAGAGAAUGUAAACAUGACUUAAUCUCCAUGGAGCGGCAGAAGGCAGUGUUGGAGAUAUCGCUGAUGACAAAAAGAUCGGAGAUUUGCAAGAUGAACAAAGCUAUCACCAAAGAGGAGAGACGCCUGAGGGAGUUGGAGGAGGUCAUUGAGAAGGACAAUCAGAGCUUUGCGGCGUUCCUGAGGGAGAAUGAGAAGAAGUCUUUGGAGGCCCAAACAUUUUUUGAACGAGAGGUUAAGUCCAAAGAGGAGAAAACGGCUGAGAUCCAGAAGUUGACUUCUGAAAUAGCAACGAUAAGAAGUGAAGUUGGCAACUAUGAAGAAAUCCUCCAAGAGUACAAGAGAUACAGGGAGCUUCUCUUUCAGCUGUCUCCUCCAGAGUGGCAAGAGGCCCAGAGGGCAAAGCUUCUCACCAAUGUCCAUCUGGAUAAGAACCCUGACGAGGACUCAACUUUCAAGCAAAAACAGGAAAGCAACAUUGCAGGUGCCCAGCCCAAACAGUUCUCUGCAGAGAGCGCCAGGACUACAAAAGAGUAUGAAGCAGAUAGCGACUGUACAGAAAUUGAGGAUAAUCCGGAGUUGUACUUCACUGAUCCCAAGCAACUUAUUGAGCUGAUGACAGAGCUAACUGAGCAGAAUUUAUCCUUGAUCAAGAACUCUACGAGGGCCGAGGAGACACUGGAGGAGCUCACACAGUCUAUGGAGGAAGUCAGGAAUAGGACUGAAAAGGAGAAGGAGCUUCUGACCCAGCAAAUAGACGAGAUGAACAAGCAAAUUGAGGAAGAGAAAACAAGAGCAUCAAAGCUGAAAAAGAAGGUUCAGCUCCAUGUCUUGCUGAACACAGAAGAUGAGGAUGACAUGAUGAGGGCGCUUGGGGAGAAGGUCUCAGAAGUGUACAGGUGCUGUGUGGGUGAUGGGUCGAGCAGCCAUAGUACCUUGGAGAAGCUGGCCAGCAUUGAGAAGCAGAUGUCUUUACUGCUGCACUGUCUUGAGGACAUCCCCAAGGCAAGUUUGGAAACGAUGCAAAAGAUCAAAGACAGCGAGAGGAGGACCAGGUAUGUCUUUUGCAACGUGAAGAAAAGUUGAGAUUGCAAAGAGAGAAACAAAUAGAAAGGAUGAAGAGGUACUUGGAGAGGUCCCUUUCUGACACCAAGAAAACAAAUGGACGUAAACUAAUGCCCAGAUGCAUCCCUACUGCUCAGAAGGUCACAGUCCAAAAAGUGCAAGGUGCUCCAACUGAUGAUGGCUUGAAUGACUACUUCUUCACACCUUCAGAUGGUAUUGACUGAAGAACAAAACAGAAACUGUGCAAUGCCUGAUUUGACUGGAAAAAAAUACUGAGCAUUAGUAAAAAUACAUGCAGCUUAAUCUUGCAGCACACUAUCCGAGUCUCAUUGUUGUGUGUGUGUGGGUGUGUGUGUGUGUGUGUGUGUGUGUGUGUGUGUGUGUGUGUGUGUGUGUGUGUGUG
Hippocampus zosterae (dwarf seahorse) is the source of this 2157-nucleotide RNA transcript. It is a transcript of the gene named cilia and flagella associated protein 100, with no coding region annotated. The record is from RefSeq and is a predicted model, not a curated record. Lineage: Eukaryota; Metazoa; Chordata; Actinopteri; Syngnathiformes; Syngnathidae. The transcript has 16 exons.